AGUGAACGCUGGCGGUAGGCCUAACACAUGCAAGUCGAACGGCAGCACAGGAGAGCUUGCUCUCUGGGUGGCGAGUGGCGGACGGGUGAGGAAUACAUCGGAAUCUACUUUUUCGUGGGGGAUAACGUAGGGAAACUUUCGCUAAUACCGCAUACGACCUACGGGUGAAAGCAGGGGAUCUUCGGACCUUGCGCGAUUGAAUGAGCCGACGUCAGAUUAGCUAGUUGGCGGGGUAAAGGCCCACCAAGGCGACGAUCCGUAGCUGGUCUGAGAGGAUGAUCAGCCACACUGGAACUGAGACACGGUCCAGACUCCUACGGGAGGCAGCAGUGGGGAAUAUUGGACAAUGGGCGCAAGCCUGAUCCAGCCAUACCGCGUGGGUGAAGAAGGCCUUCGGGUUGUAAAGCCCUUUUGUUGGGAAAGAAAUCCAGCUGGUUAAUACCCGGUUGGGAUGACGGUACCCAAAGAAUAAGCACCGGCUAACUUCGUGCCAGCCGCCGCGGUAA
This 506-nucleotide ribosomal RNA is filed under the name uncultured bacterium. RNAcentral's name for it is "partial 16S ribosomal RNA". It matches the Rfam family "Bacterial small subunit ribosomal RNA", at positions 29 to 523 of the family's 1533-position model. The record is from RNAcentral.